GUUUGACCCUCGGAUGACCUCUGACCUCCUCUGCCGACACAAGCACAAAAAGCAGGAUAUCUAUCUGAAUGAGGACUUCCAGACCAGCUUCACAAAGAAACUGGAAAUCCAGCUACAGAAUACCAAAUAUUCCCAUAGGAAUGCUUCCUCCAGCCAACAUUCCUCCAGCUGCCCAACCUAAGUCCGACAAAUUGUGAGAAGAAAGAAAAAAGAAAAAAAGUUGCUGCAUAAUGUGACCAACCCCAAAGGCAAUAAUGAAAGGGCAAUGCCAGCUUGUUUGGAAAUGAAUGGUGACCGGAUUUGCUUUUUGAAAUAACCAGCGAAAGAGUUUCUUUGUACAUGCUGGGCUUGGUUUUAGGGAGUUAGCCUUCAAAGGUUUUAGGGAACAGUGUCACAAAACUUAGAUUCCUGAGAGUUGAGUCAGUGCUAUUGGUGGUUCCCUAAACCGUCAUUGCUAAUAUUGAUCCUAGAGGUCGGCCUUUGACCUCUCCCACCAUUCACUUUUCCAUAUCCAGUGUUAUCUGAGAACAUCUGCAGCUAAGGUUCACAAGGGUCAGAGUACACAGAAUGUAAACACUGCACAGCACCAUUAACACAUCACUGUACUCAGCACACAUUCAUGUGAGGUACACUUCUGUUUCUGUUAAAUGGAGUGUGAAUGUUUGCUAAUUAGUAGUUGUGAGUAGUUUGUGCUGAGUAGUUGUGCUAAUUUCCUGCUGUCAAAACAAAGAAGAUUAAACAUUUGCAAAACAUAAAUAAUUAAAAAAUAUAGGCGCCACUAUACUUCCAGUCUUCUGCAAAAUAUGACCAAGCCUGUUUAGUGCCUUCAUGAAAUAUUCAACUACAAUUUUUUGGAAUAUGUACAAAUAAAACAAAGUACCAGGGUCCUUUUGCAUAACACACAAGCUUGGCCACUUCCCAUCCAAGUUAACUAAUAUUAAUGUGCAAAGAUUUCCACCUGUAAUCAGUGUCAAUAGAGUGCUGCAGUGAUGAUUUGUUUUUUGUAGGACAAGCCGCAAGUUAACAUAACCCUGGUUCCAUCUUAAAAAAAAAAAAAAGGAUUUUUCCAUUAGCUUUUGGAUUAUUUCUGAAAAUAAGCUCUGUGAUUAACAAAAGUUUGAUUCACACGUUUUGUUUAUGAUAAUCUUCACAAAUGAACACAACUUUUAUGACUUUUGAAGUCUAGAUACAAUCAGCCUAAGUAAAAAGCUAAAUGUAGGCUAUAAACAAACUACACCACAGUCACAUGACUUCAACGUCAC
Molecule: long non-coding RNA, 1262 nt
Filed under: Sinocyclocheilus grahami
Lineage: Eukaryota; Metazoa; Chordata; Actinopteri; Cypriniformes; Cyprinidae
Description: lncRNA (ENSSGRG00000025828.1)
Source: RNAcentral